Molecule: small RNA, 836 nt
Filed under: Pongo abelii (Sumatran orangutan)
Lineage: Eukaryota; Metazoa; Chordata; Mammalia; Primates; Hominidae
Description: retained intron
Source: RNAcentral
AGAAUCUGGGCUUCUUCACCCAUUUAGGCUGUCACUACUUUUUUUUUCACUUUUUUUUAUCCCUGUUUAAGUCAGUCUGACCCACAGUUGUCCUCUGCUGACUUCAGAAAUAAUAAUCUGGCCAGUAGACAUUCGGUUUCGGUCCUUUAGGCCCUUCGCCUCAGGCAUUGUUCUCUAUGGUGGACAAAGUUCAGAAUGGAAGAUGGGAGAAAGGUCUGCUACAAUGCUGCUGCUGCACAGAGCUGUGGUCCUCAGGCUCAAACAGGCCUGCAGGUAGGCCAGCCCAUCCCAGGACGCCUCCUAGCCCCUAUCUGCCACCCUUAGUGUCUUUUACAAUGUCAUACCUUGCAAAUAAGACCGUUGAGAGAGUGUGUCCAGGGAGGACAGAGAAAGCAAGACCCACUCUUCCCAUCUAUCCCUGGAGAAACUAAGUUCCAACUUAAGGAACCAAUGGCCAACCAGGGAGAAAGAAGUAGACCCCAAGCCUUCACUGGCCCUUUCACAUGACCAUACAUGCUACUAAGACCUCUCUCUCUUCCAGACUCAAGUCAAUCCCCUCAAGGAUCUGCAUUCAGGCCUGCUCCAUAAAUGAUUCAUUUCAGCCCCAGCGCCCCAGCCUCACCUUCUCUGGUGAUAACUCCAGCACCCAGGGAUGGAGAGUCAUGGGGACCCUAUUAGGUCUCGGUGCAGUGUUGGCCUAUCAGGACCAUCGGUGUAGGGCUGCUCAGGAGUCAACACACAUAUACACUAAGGAGGAAGUGAGUUCCCACACCAGCCCUGAGACUGGGAUCUGGGUGACUCUGGGCUCUGAGGUCUUUGAUGUCACAGAAUUUGUG